This 253-nucleotide ribosomal RNA is filed under the name uncultured bacterium. Its description in RNAcentral is "partial 16S ribosomal RNA". It matches the Rfam family "Bacterial small subunit ribosomal RNA", at positions 524 to 776 of the family's 1533-position model. The record is from RNAcentral.
UACAGGGGGUGCAAGCGUUGCUCGGAAUCACUGGGCGUAAAGGGUGCGUAGGCGGGUCUUUAAGUCAGGGGUGAAAUCCUGGAGCUCAACUCCAGAACUGCCUUUGAUACUGAAGAUCUUGAGUUCGGGAGAGGUGAGUGGAACUGCGAGUGUAGAGGUGAAAUUCGUAGAUAUUCGCAAGAACACCAGUGGCGAAGGCGGCUCACUGGCCCGAUACUGACGCUGAGGCACGAAAGCGUGGGGAGCAAACAGG